UCUUUGUACAAAAAGAAGAAACAAUCCAAGGGGGCGGUCCAGGCGCACCAACCGAUUCGCCGCUCUCUCCCCCGUGCCGUACCCCGCCCCCCUCCCCCCGUGCUCGUGGGCGUUGCACACGCGCCUGCGUGUGCAGUUUGCGUUUGCAGGGUGCGCGCCCUCCUCAAGCCCUUUUUGUUUGUUCGCUUAUUCGUUACUCUUCCGUCUUUUUGCGGCCUCGUUUUACCUUUUCAUUGUCCUCCUCCCCCCACUCGCUUUUCCUCGUGGCAACGCGCGCGCGCUUGAGUCUGCGGUUGCAGCGUUCUCCCCCUCUCACUUUCUCAAACGCCCGCCAUGUCUCAUUCAACAGGGCCCGCCGUUCCGAUUCCCUCGCUUGGGGGCGCUACAGCGGAGCACCCGCCUCACAGCCGAGUUAGUCUGCCGACUUUCACCCAUUCAACCAGACCCCAAGCUGCAAACACGGCGUACCUGUCUUAUCCACCGGCUCCGUAUUCGAGACAGCCCCAGCCUGGCUACCCGCCGUCGUUCCCCAUGUCUACGGGCGACACGAACGGGGGUAACCUCGGUAACCAUGCUGCCACGGCGGCAUCGUCACUGACGCCGUUCGGUUCGUACGGCUCCGCGGCAAUGACUAGCCCGCCACCAGCCUAUCCUGAGCACGGCGGGUAUUCGGAGCAGCAGCAGGUGGCGCCGACGCUGCCGCCGCCACCGCCUCACCACCAGCGGAACCCCAACGCGUACAUUCCGCGCGAGGCGGCGCGUGAGGAGGUUGUGGGCGAGGCCAUCGCGGCCACCUCGCAGCACUGGUUGCAAACGCAGCUAAAGCGGGAGACGGAGAGGCGGCACGAGCCGCUGCACGGUAGGUUCCAGCAGUCGGCGCGCCGCGGCCACGAGGGUCAAGACGACGACGGUUACGCGCGAGAGAACGCUGCUCGGUAUCUGCCGACUGCAGGUGGGGCCGCCGCGAGGGGCGGCACGGCGUCAUUUACGUUCUCUCACGCGUCCCAGCGGCAGCACGUAGAGUUCCUGAUCGGCUCACCCUGCCAUGUGAAGAGGCUCGUGGUCCUCCUCUUCUCCACGCUGUUUGGCGUCCUUCCUCUCAUGUCCACCUUCGCCUUCACGACGCUGCUUUGCGGGGUGGUGCUGCUGUACAUUUCCGACUAUCUGGGCUACCACCGUACCACCGUCUUAGUUCUGCUCGGCACUGCCGGCGUGUUCUCGGCGACGCUUCUCAUCUCUAACAUUCACGCGGCGGCCACGUCGUUCGGCCCCAUGUUGAUGAUUGCGGACUUGGGCGGCGUUCUCAUGGUUGUGGUGGCGGCCGCAAUCCAGCACUUUCGCUGGGUGCAGGAGACGUUUCCGAAUGUCCUGUGCGCGCUGGAGAGAUUUGUGUUCGCGGUUGGCCCUGUGCUCUGCCUGCCGCCGCUGCUGACGACGAUCACCGGCCUCGUCGGCUCCCGCCGCGCGCCGUUUUUCUUCUUUGUUGUUCUGUGCACGCUGCACCACUUCUUCUACUGCCCCCUCAAAAGCAGCUUUCUCGUGCUGGUGUCCCCAGAGAGUGCUGCUGGCGCCGCGGCGACGUCGGUGCAGCCAGGUCAGCAGCAGCAGCACCUGCAGUCUGAUGCCAUGAGGGAUGCCGGGGUCCACGCGAGAGGGAGGGUCGCCGAUGACGGGGAUGGCCAGGCGAAAGGUGCGCACGCGGGUGGCGACGGCGACGGCGCCGGCGGCGUUGAUGACGCGGCGUCUGUCGACUCCACCUCGUCUACCUGCGGCGCGCCAAUGCAAUUGAAUGAGCAGGUGGAGGCGCUCGUCUUCAGCUGCCUUGUUUUGCUCCUCCCUGUCGCCGUGUACAACGCCUUCCAGAGCAACUGGGUAGACCACGCGGUUGCGAACAUGCUCAACUCGGUCGGCCUUGCCUGCGGCGGCAUCGCUUACUUCUGCAUUUCGCCACUGCACAGCCUCUGGUUCCUGGCGUCGCCAUCGGAAGAGACCUACUCGCUGUUGCAGCAGCUCGAAUACGACCCGCUCGGGCUUCUUGACCUCGUCGCGGCCUUCCGCAUUCCCCUGUUGGCGAUCGUCUCUAUCAUUGGGGUGCAUUGGGGCGCCUACCGCCUCCUCAACUCGCGCUACUCGUACCUGUUCUCGGGCGUUGCCUUUCCUUUCAACGCCAUUCUGUUGCUGAUCGCCUUCUACAUCACCGUGUACGUCGGCAUCGAGAUCAAGUGGCUCCUCGACGUCGACAGCCGCGGCGGCGAUGUGACGAAGGGCAAGUAUCUGCUGCGGCGCAUGCCGGUGCUGCUUGGCAGCUGCGCGGUGUCCGUCAUUCUGUGCAUCUUGACGAGUGCACCGGGUGUGCUCUAUUUCCCUAGUGUGCUCUCCAUCAUUGCCUUCAACGUCUUCCUUAUGGACCGCACGAACGGCGGCCCGAUGUUCACCUUUACCGUCUUCACUAGCCUGAUGCUACUGUGGUGGAUGUACCGCACCUACUCCUUCAUCGUGAUGGACCUGCGCGUUUUCGGUGAGACGACGGUAGUGCCAACGCCGGUGCUGGGGGUGAGCGUGCUGUGGUGCUACGUGCUCGGCUGCAUGAGCUUCGCCCUCUCCUUCUCGCCCAGCAAGGCACCGGUGACGAUCGCUCUCUUCCUGCUUGCGCUGCAGCUCACCUUUGUUGAGCACGUCCUCUACUCGCAGAAAGAGGAGGGCGCCUACCCGGCGGUGCUUGUCGUGCUCACGAGUGCCGUGGGCGUUGCCGUGCCGUGCCGCAUGUACAAAAAUGGUGCUCUGACGGUGUACUCGGCGGUGCUCAUCUCGUCUUGCUUUGUGGCCAAGCUCUUUACUUUUCUGGUCGAAGUGACGAGUGCCUACUACGCAGCGGAGCUGACUGUGCGUGAUGGGAUGGAGACGACCCGCGCGUGGCUCCUCAUGGCCGAGAUCACGGGCGGGUGGUGGGUAGCCCUCUUCGCCGGCUACCUCGUCGCCUCAUUCGAGAUUGAGCACCGCCGUCGCAUCAAGAUGGAGGCAGCGAAGAGGAUGCUUCACACAUACGCCACCAUGGCGCUGCUGCUGUCUCUGCUGACGAUCCGCAACGUGCAGCGCGCUGCCUACGAGUUUGUUACACAGAGCUACGUUGCAGAGUCGGAGCUGCUUCACAUUGCCGCCGGCACGUGCUGUGCGACCUACGCGCUUCUGACGAUGCCCGUGUGGUGGCGGCUGAAGAGCCGCUACCCGGCUGUGUUUCCGCUUCGCGCCGUUUCCCGCUGCGCGGCGCUAUUGGGAGUGGUCCUGCUAGCCGUGCAGCCCACCCGCGUGGUGGGGGCGGAGGUGUCCGACUUCGACUAUGAUUUCGAGUACGCCGACAGAGGCCGGUACGCGGCGGCCGUCGGCCUCAUGAUGCUGCUUGGUGCCCGGGCCUCAUUUCUGCAGUGCAUCCCGUUCGCUGGCCGCUUUGUAUACUGGCUCGCGACAGCCGCGUCGUUGUCGCUCGGCAUUACCGGGCUCGUGCAGGCCGCGCCGACCUUCAACUUCUACAUCAUGAUGCUGGGCUUCGUCUUUCUGAUCCUCCUCAUGAUCGAUGUGACGCACUAUCGCGAGGUGAGCGGCACCGUGCUUGUUGGAGUGUACGGCCUCUCCAUUCUUACGAUCCCGUUAUCUUUCCUGCAGCUCAACCGGUCUGUCGCGGCGCAGCAAGAGAAGCUGUACUACUCGCCCAAUCGCUUGACGAUGCUGUGGGAUAUGUACGAGCAGGGAAGCCUGCGCCUCCUGGCGGUUAUCGUCGUCAUGUACCUGGGCUUGUCAGUGAUGAUCAACUGCCGCCUGAGCGGGCGGCCGCUGCUCCCCAAGUGCCGCGAGAUCAGCCACGAGGCCAGCCUGCCCCUUGGUGUCAUCGCCAACUUUUCGACGGAGCUGUCCGUGGCACUGCUGUGCGCCAUCAAUUUCUUCGGCAACGACAGUGAGCCAGCCUUGUACGUCCUGUCCUCGCUUCUUCUGCUGCUCUUCGUGGAUGACGAAGUCAUCUUCUUUGGGCUCAAGGAGCACCACUUCCGCUACUUCGCUCCCACGGCAUGCUCCUUGACACUGCUGUGGCUGUGCACCAUGUGGAACGCGUGGCGCACGGCGGCACCACAGGGUCUUCUUUCGCAGCUGAGGCGGGAAACGUGGUCAUUGGCGCAGGCCUCUGUCACAUUGCCGUCGCAGAUCUCGCUGCUGGUGCUCUUGUGGAGGGGGCGCAAGAUGGGCAGCUCUCCCGGCUUUGUUGUCGUUGGCUCGGUGCUGCUGAACCUGGCGUGCCUGCUGCUUGUGUCAGACAAGGCCGUGCAGUGGAUGGCGAUUGUCGGCAUCCUUGGCCAGUGCGCACGUAUUUUCGAAACGCAACUCCAGCCCACCACCUCCACACGGCGCCGUCACCCCAGCGCCUACUAGGUGCGGGAGUAUUACCAGCAAAAAGGAGGAAGGAGAAGCAGACACACGCACACACACACACACACACACACGCACCCACAUACACAGGCCCUCCUUACACCCCCACUGGCUUUCCAUGCCAGCAACACUACCCCCGAAAACAUCGGCAUUGGUGUGUGCGUGCAUGUUUGCGUGUGUGUGUGUGCUUGUCACACGUAUAGUCAAGCACCUGCCAUAUCGUCGGAGGAGCGCGUGCCGUCACCGUCGCUUCACAUCCUCUUCAACCUGUUCUUUUCGUGUUCGGUGAAUAUCUGGAGUCGUUCCGUCUUCGAGGGAGCCGCAGAUGGGCGCUUGAUGGGGGGAAGGAGGCACCUGCUUUUCUUUGACCCGUCCAUGUGAAGUGCAGAGUAGUUGUGUUUGCUGGUGCGAUGUGGUUGCCUUAAACACCUCUCUCCCUCCUCUCUCUGUCUUAAGUUCCUUGUUCUUCCUGCCUCGCUUGGUUCUUUCUCCCCAACUCCCCGCCAGCCUUUCAAGCGCCUGCGGUGACCGCCGCCGCUGUGCGUGUCUGUGCUUGAGUGCGCUCGUGUGCCGUAUGUUGGCUGUGACACAGCCACGGCCACAGACACUGACACAGACAGCAUGUGCGGCGCGUUUUGAGGCGAAAGGCGCGGGUGAGGACAUCGUGGCUGGGUUGCCUUCUGCUCGUGUGCUUGCACGUAGCUCUUCCCUUUGUGUGUAGAGUCUGUGUGUUUGUGUGUGCGUGUGUGUGUCGGUUGUUUUGAUGAGAGAUGUGGGGCUACGGUAGCGUGAAUAAACGGAACUUGCUGGCGUGGCGCACAUCUUGCGAAGAUGGCGCAAGUGAACCGAAUACCGUACCAAGGACAUCCAUACAUGAAGGGCGUGACAUGAGUGGUCGACGGACCAUCCUGAGGGUGUUCAUAUGCUUUAGUACUCCUCCUCUUCUCAUGCCUCCUCAGUUCCAUGACACGCAAUCUGCGCGUGCGUGUGCUUUUCU
RNAcentral lists this unclassified non-coding RNA (5413 nucleotides) under Leishmania donovani. Its description in RNAcentral is "gene:LdHU3.32.3720(CDS-product:hypothetical_prote in_conserved)". The record is from RNAcentral. Lineage: Eukaryota; Euglenozoa; Kinetoplastea; Trypanosomatida; Trypanosomatidae.